GAUGAACGCUGGCGGCGUGCCUAAUACAUGCAAGUCGAGCGAACGGACGAGAAGCUUGCUUCUCUGAUGUUAGCGGCGGACGGGUGAGUAACACGUGGAUAACCUACCUAUAAGACUGGGAUAACUUCGGGAAACCGGAGCUAAUACCGGAUGAUAUUUUGAACCGCAUGGUUCAAAAGUGAAAGACGGUCUUGCUGUCACUUAUAGAUGGAUCCGCGCUGCAUUAGCUAGUUGGUAAGGUAACGGCUUACCAAGGCAACGAUGCAUAGCCGACCUGAGAGGGUGAUCGGCCACACUGGAACUGAGACACGGUCCAGACUCCUACGGGAGGCAGCAGUAGGGAAUCUUCCGCAAUGGGCGAAAGCCUGACGGAGCAACGCCGCGUGAGUGAUGAAGGUCUUCGGAUCGUAAAACUCUGUUAUUAGGGAAGAACAUAUGUGUGAGAAACUGUGCACAUCUUGACGGUACCUAAUCAGAAAGCCACGGCUAACUACGUG
This 497-nucleotide ribosomal RNA is filed under the name uncultured bacterium. RNAcentral describes it as "partial 16S ribosomal RNA". It matches the Rfam family "Bacterial small subunit ribosomal RNA", at positions 28 to 507 of the family's 1533-position model. The record is from RNAcentral.